CUCGGGCGGAGGUGGUUGAGUG
This 22-nucleotide microRNA is filed under the name Homo sapiens (human). RNAcentral's name for it is "hsa-miR-4750-5p". The record is from miRBase by way of RNAcentral. Lineage: Eukaryota; Metazoa; Chordata; Mammalia; Primates; Hominidae.